RNAcentral lists this ribosomal RNA (426 nucleotides) under uncultured prokaryote. RNAcentral's name for it is "bacterial SSU rRNA". It matches the Rfam family "Bacterial small subunit ribosomal RNA", at positions 355 to 796 of the family's 1533-position model. The record is from RNAcentral.
UCGAGAAUCUUCGGCAAUGGGCGAAAGCCUGACCGAGCGACGCCGCGUGGAGGAAGAAGGCCCUUGGGUUGUAAACUCCUGUUGAGGGGAAGGAAAUUUUGACCGAACCCUUGAGGAAGCGCAGGCUAAGUUCGUGCCAGCAGCCGCGGUAAGACGAACUGCGCAAACGUUAUUCGGAAUCAUUGGGCUUAAAGCGCGUGCAGGCGGCAGUAUAAGUUGGAGGUGAAAUCCUAUCGGCUCAACCGUAGAACGGCCUUCAAUACUGUACUGCUCGAGGGAGCAAGGGGCUUGCGGAACUUGUGGUGGAGCGGUGAAAUGUGUUGAUAUCAUGAGGAACGCCAGUGGCGAAAGCGGCAAGCUGGGUCUCUUCUGACGCUCAGACGCGAAAGCCAGGGUAGCGAACGGGAUUAGAUACCCCCGUAGUCC